AAAUUGAAGAGUUUGAUCAUGGCUCAGAUUGAAUGCUGGCGGCAGGCCUAACACAUGCAAGUCGAACGGUAACAGGAAACAGCUUGCUGUUUCGCUGACGAGUGGCGGACGGGUGAGUAAUGUCUGGGAAACUGCCUGAUGGAGGGGGAUAACUACUGGAAACGGUAGCUAAUACCGCAUAACGUCGCAAGACCAAAGAGGGGGACCUUCGGGCCUCUUGCCAUCGGAUGUGCCCAGAUGGGAUUAGCUAGUAGGUGGGGUAACGG
RNAcentral lists this ribosomal RNA (266 nucleotides) under Escherichia coli. RNAcentral describes it as "partial 16S ribosomal RNA". It matches the Rfam family "Bacterial small subunit ribosomal RNA", at positions 1 to 263 of the family's 1533-position model. The record is from RNAcentral. Lineage: Bacteria; Pseudomonadati; Pseudomonadota; Gammaproteobacteria; Enterobacterales; Enterobacteriaceae.